GAUCCGCUGCGUACAUCGUUUCUCAAAACGUGAUUAUUUUCGACGACGAUUAUCAAAUAGUACGAUUAAUGAUCUUCGCAAUUAAAGAUUCGUGGAUGUAUCAAGGCGGCAGGUAUUUAUGAAAACAAAUAUCUCGCGCGAUUUAAAGUAGGAGCAAUACAGAAGGUGAAUUAUAAAUUGCCAUUUCGUCGCGACAAAUUUAUAACUUAUAAUUGCUUCCUCAAUGCGUGUAUUCAUUCCCAAUGUCGACGGAAUAGAAAGAAACAGAAUAUUCGGCAUGAAAUUAUAAAGUUAAAUAUUCGAUAUAAUAUUUCGGCGCCAGACGAUACGCCGACUGGCCUUGAAGUUUGUUUAUGUAGCGCCCCCUCGCGCUGUGCGUGUAUGUAUUACUGUGUUAUUCGCACGACGUUACUCGAGUCGGCAAGUCGCGAUCCGCCACGUACAUCGUUUCUCGAAACGUAAUUAUUUUCGACGACGAUUAUCAAUUAGUACGAUUAAUUAUCUUCGCAAUUAAAGAUUCGUGGACGUAUCAAGGCGGCAGGUAUUUAUGAAAACAAAUAUCUCGCGCGAUUUAAAGUAGAAGCAAUAGAGAAGAUGAAUUAUAAAUUGCCAUUUCGUCGCGACAAAUUUAUAACUUAUAAUUGCUUCCUCAAUGCGUGUAUUCAUUCCCAAUGUCGACGGAAUAGAAAGAAACAGAAUAUUCGGCAUGAAAUUAUAAAGUUAAAUAUUCGAUAUAAUAUUUCGGCGCCAGACGAUACGCCGACUGGCCUUGAAGUUUGUUUAUGUAGCGCCCCCUCGCGCUGUGCGUGUAUGUAUUACUGUGUUAUUCGCACGACGUUACUCGAGUCGGCAAGUCGCGAUCCGCCACGUACAUCGUUUCUCGAAACGUAAUUAUUUUCGACGACGAUUAUCAAUUAGUACGAUUAAUUAUCUUCGCAAUUAAAGAUUCGUGGACGUAUCAAGGCGGCAGGUAUUUAUGAAAACAAAUAUCUCGCGCGAUUUAAAGUAGAAGCAAUAGAGAAGAUGAAUUAUAAAUUGCCAUUUCGUCGCGACAAAUUUAUAACUUAUAAUUGCUUCCUCAAUGCGUGUAUUCAUUCCCAAUGUCGACGGAAUAGAAAGAAACAGAAUAUUCGGCAUGAAAUUAUAAAGUUAAAUAUUCGAUAUAAUAUUUCGGCGCCAGACGAUACGCCGACUGGCCUUGAAGUUUGUUUAUGUAGCGCCCCCUCGCGCUGUGCGUGUAUGUAUUACUGUGUUAUUCGCACGACGUUACUCGAGUCGGCAAGUCGCGAUCCGCUACGUACAUCGUUUCUCGAAACGUAAUUAUUUUCGACGACGAUUAUCAAUUAGUACGAUUAAUUAUCUUCGCAAUUAAAGAUUCAUGGACGUAUCAAGGCGGCAGGUAUUUAUGAAAACAAAUAUCUCGCGCGAUUUAAAGUAGAAGCAAUAGAGAAGAUGAAUUAUAAAUUGCCAUUUCGUCGCGACAAAUUUAUAACUUAUAAUUGCUUCCUCAAUGCGUGUAUUCAUUCCCAAUGUCGACGGAAUAGAAAGAAACAGAAUAUUCGGCAUGAAAUUAUAAAGUUAAAUAUUCGAUAUAAUAUUUCGGACCCAGAUAAUACGUCGACUGGCCUUGAAGUUUAUUUACGUAGCGCCCUCACGCUGUGUGUGUAUGUAUUAUUUUUAUUCGCGUGACGUCACUCGAGUCGGCAGGUCGCGAUCCGGUGCGUACAUCUUUUCUCAAAACGUAAUUAUUUUCGACGACGAUUAUCAAUUAGUACGAUUAAUUAUCUUCGCAAUUAAAGAUUCGUGGACGUAUCAAGGCGGCAGGUAUUUAUUAAAACAAGUAUUUCGCACGAUUUAAAGUAGAAGCGAUAGACAAGAUGAAUGAUAAAUUGCCGUUUCGUCGCGACAAAUUUACGACCUAUAAUUAUUUCCUCAAUGCGUGUAUUCAUUCCCAAUGUCGACGGAAUAGAAUUGAAUCUCAUUGAACAUUGCUGAACAAUGCUCCAUGAAAGUGCGCUUUGCUUCGAGAAACGGGCCCGCUUGAAUUGGUUAGAUUAGGUUAGUUCGAUCGAUUGCUCGAUAAGGGCAGGCACAAUCGUCGUCCCGCAUCUCUUGCCCCGAACACCAUACACCAAUAGUGUCGCCGUAUAUUUUUUAGUUCUCGCUCGAAAUUAUCUCGCCGACUCGUAGUGCGAAACGGUAUAUUGUUUCGCAUUUGCGAAAUCGUCGGGAGUGUCGUGUAAAGUGUCGCGCGUUUAAGUGCGGGAGUGUCGUUCAAAGUGUCGUGCGUCCAGUGAUCUUUCCUGACGACCCUGACAAAGAUCCAUUACCUACGAGGAGAUGGAAGUCUAGGAAAGGCAUCGUGCAAACGGCGAAAUACUUCGAGAUCAACAUUGUGUUCUGUCUGCCCACAUCGUGUCAGUGAGUGCACAUUGUAUCGGUAUCGGUGGUUUUACCUCCGGACGCUUCUACCACGGUUGGCUGCUCAUUGAACCACACACUUGAUUCAACGGCGCUUCAAUGAGCGAACACACAGCUAAUU
Long non-coding RNA from Camponotus floridanus (Florida carpenter ant), 2542 nucleotides. RefSeq lists it as uncharacterized. NCBI's taxonomy places the organism in Eukaryota, Metazoa, Arthropoda, Insecta, Hymenoptera, Formicidae. The record is from RefSeq and is a predicted model, not a curated record. The transcript has 3 exons.